This 116-nucleotide ribosomal RNA is filed under the name Candidatus Caccocola faecipullorum. Lineage: Bacteria; Thermotogati; Synergistota; Synergistia; Synergistales; Synergistaceae. The record is from RNAcentral.
UCCGGUGCUCAUAGAGAGGUGGACACACCCAGCUCCAUGCCGAACCUGGCAGUUAAGCACCUCAUCGCCGAUGGUACUGCGGAGGGUAUUCGUGGGAGAGUAGGCCGGCGCCGGGA